AACGUAGGAGACAAGCGUUAUCCGAAUUUACUGGGCGUAAAGCGCGUGCAGGUGGUUAGGUAAGUUGAAUGUGAAAUCUCCUGGCUCAACUGGGAGAGGCUGUUCAAGACUGCCUGACUAGAGGGCGGUAGAGGGAGGUGGAAUUCCCGGUGUAGUGGUGAAAUGCGUAGAUAUCGGGAGGAACACCUGUGGCGAAAGCGGCCUCCUGGACCGUACCUGACGCUCAGACGCGAAAGCUAGGGGAGUGAACGGG
RNAcentral lists this ribosomal RNA (253 nucleotides) under uncultured Bellilinea sp. RNAcentral describes it as "partial 16S ribosomal RNA". It matches the Rfam family "Bacterial small subunit ribosomal RNA", at positions 524 to 776 of the family's 1533-position model. Lineage: Bacteria; Bacillati; Chloroflexota; Anaerolineae; Anaerolineales; Anaerolineaceae. The record is from RNAcentral.